UCAAGGUGAGAGAUACGGAGGUAGAGCACUGAAUGUCCUAGGGGGUAUUGCACCUACCGAAGACUAUCAAACUCCGAAUGCCGUCAUCUUAUACUUGGGAGUCAGACUGUGGGUGAUAAGAUUCAUAGUCGAAAGGGCAACAGCCCAGAUCGUCAGCUAAGGUCCCUAAAUGUAAGUUAAGUGGUAAAGGAUGUGGGAUUGCACAGACAACCAGGAUGUUGGCUUAGAAGCAGCCACUCAUUCAAAGAGUGCGUAAUAGCUCACUGGUCGAGUGAUCCUGCGCCGAAGAUUUCCGGGGCUAAAACUUACUACCGAAGCUACGGCAUCAGUAAUGAUGGGUAGGGGAGCUUCCCAUACGGGUUGAAGCAUGACCGUAAGGACAUGUGGACAGUAUGGGAGUGAGAAUGUUGGCAUGAGUAGCGAGAUGUGGGUGAGAAUCCCACAGGCCGUAAACCCAAGGUUUCCAGGGGAAGGUUCGUCCGCCCUGGGUUAGUCGGGACCUAAGCUGAGGCCGAAAGGCGUAGGUGAUGGACAACAGGUUGAUAUUCCUGUACUACCGAUAACCGUUUGAGAGAAGGGAUGACACAGUAGGAUAAGCUAAGCACACUGUUGGUUAUGUGUGCCCAAGCAUUGAGGCAGUCAAAGUAGGCAAAUCCGCUUUGAUAAUGCUGGGAUGUGAUGGGGAGCGAAAUUUAGUAGCGAAGUAGCUGAUUUCACACUGUCAAGAAAAGUCUCUAUCGAGGUUAAAGGUACCCGUACCGCAAACCGACACAGGUGGGUGAGGAGAGUAUCCUAAGGCCAGCGAGAGAACUGUUGUUAAGGAACUCGGCAAAAUGACCCCGUAACUUAGGGAUAAGGGGUGCCACCAUCAGGUGGCCGCAGAGAAUAGGCCCAAGCGACUGUUUACCAAAAACAUAGGUUUCUGCUAAGUCGCAAGACGAUGUAUAGGAGCUGACGCCUGCCCGGUGCUGGAAGGUUAAGGGGAUCUGUUAGAGCAAUCGAAGCAGUGAACUUAAGCCCCAGUAAACGGCGGCCGUAACUAUAACGGUCCUAAGGUAGCGAAAUUCCUUGUCGGGUAAGUUCCGACCCGCACGAAAGGCGUAACGAUUUGGGCACUGUCUCAACAACAGACUCGGUGAAAUUGUAAUUCCGGUGAAGAUGCCGGAUACCUGCGACAGGACGGAAAGACCCCAUGGAGCUUUACUGUAGCUUGACAUUGGGUCUUGGUACUACAUGUACAGGAUAGGUGGGAGGCUUUGAAACCAGGACGCCAGUUUUGGCGGAGCCAUCCUUGGGAUACCACCCUUGUAGUACUGGGACUCUAACCAUAGGCCAUGAAUCUGGUCUUGGGACACUGUCAGGUGGGCAGUUUGACUGGGGCGGUCGCCUCCCAAAAGGUAACGGAGGCGCUCAAAGGUUCUCUCAGUACGGUCGGAAAUCGUACGUAGAGUGUAAAGGCAAAAGAGAGCUUGAUUGCAAGACAUACAGGUCGAGCAAGGAUGAAAAUCGGACUUAGUGAUCCGGUGGUUCUGCGUGGAAGGGCCAUCGCUCAACGGAUAAAAGCUACCCUGGGGAUAACAGGCUUAUCUCCCCCAAGAGUCCACAUCGACGGGGAGGUUUGGCACCUCGAUGUCGGCUCAUCACAUCCUGGGGCUGUAGUAGGUCCCAAGGGUUGGGC
This 1678-nucleotide ribosomal RNA is filed under the name Clostridioides difficile. Its description in RNAcentral is "bacterial LSU rRNA". It matches the Rfam family "Bacterial large subunit ribosomal RNA", at positions 882 to 2577 of the family's 2925-position model. The record is from RNAcentral. Lineage: Bacteria; Bacillati; Bacillota; Clostridia; Peptostreptococcales; Peptostreptococcaceae.